RNAcentral lists this ribosomal RNA (484 nucleotides) under uncultured bacterium. RNAcentral's name for it is "partial 16S ribosomal RNA". It matches the Rfam family "Bacterial small subunit ribosomal RNA", at positions 30 to 507 of the family's 1533-position model. The record is from RNAcentral.
AUUGAACGCUGGCGGCAGGCCUAACACAUGCAAGUCGAGCGGAUGAAGGGAGCUUGCUCCUGGAUUCAGCGGCGGACGGGUGAGUAAUGCCUAGGAAUCUGCCUGGCAGUGGGGGAUAACGUCCGGAAACGGGCGCUAAUACCGCAUACGUCCUGAGGGAGAAAGUGGGGGAUCUUCGGACCUCACGCUAUCAGAUGAGCCUAGGUCGGAUUAGCUAGUUGGUGGGGUAAAGGCCUACCAAGGCGACGAUCCGUAACUGGUCUGAGAGGAUGAUCAGUCACACUGGAACUGAGACACGGUCCAGACUCCUACGGGAGGCAGCAGUGGGGAAUAUUGGACAAUGGGCGAAAGCCUGGUCCAGCCAUGCCGCGUGUGUGAAGAAGGUCUUCGGAUUGUAAAGCACUUUAAGUUGGGAAGAAGGGCAGUAAGUUAAUACCUUGCUGUUUUGACGUUACCAACAGAAUAAGCACCGGCUAACUUCGUG